Molecule: ribosomal RNA, 403 nt
Filed under: Castellaniella sp.
Lineage: Bacteria; Pseudomonadati; Pseudomonadota; Betaproteobacteria; Burkholderiales; Alcaligenaceae
Description: bacterial SSU rRNA
Rfam family: Bacterial small subunit ribosomal RNA
Source: RNAcentral
AGAUUGAACUGAAGAGUUUGAUCCUGGCUCAGAUUGAACGCUAGCGGGAUGCUUUACACAUGCAAGUCGAACGGCAGCGCAGGGAGCUUGCUCCCGGGCGGCGAGUGGCGAACGGGUGAGUAAUGUAUCGGAACGUGCCCAGUAGCGGGGGAUAACUACGCGAAAGCGUGGCUAAUACCGCAUACGCCCUACGGGGGAAAGAGGGGGAUCGCAAGACCUCUCACUAUUGGAGCGGCUGAUAUCGGAUUAGCUGGUUGGUGGGGUAAAGGCCCACCAAGGCGACGAUCCGUAGCUGGUUUGAGAGGACGACCAGCCACACUGGGACUGAGACACGGCCCAGACUCCUACGGGAGGCAGCAGUGGGGAAUUUUGGACAAUGGGGGCAACCCUGAUCCAGCCAUCC